Magnolia sinica is the source of this 935-nucleotide long non-coding RNA. RefSeq lists it as uncharacterized. The transcript is spliced from 2 exons. NCBI's taxonomy places the organism in Eukaryota, Viridiplantae, Streptophyta, Magnoliopsida, Magnoliales, Magnoliaceae. The record is from RefSeq and is a predicted model, not a curated record.
AGUUGGGUGUUUGAUCUAUUUAUUUUUAAUUUUUUGCUGGGCUUUUCACUUCAGUAUCUGGGGUUGGUUGUUUUCUAUUUGUUUUUUACCUUUCUGUUUUUGUUAGUUUAUCGGCCGGGUAGCGAUGUUUUCUGUUUGUAGUUGUUGUCUUUCUCUAGCAUUUAAAAAAAAAAAGAAAAGAGAAAAGAAAGGAAGCAUGGUAGGAAUCCGAAUUUUAGAAGUUGAAAGAUGAAGAUAAAAAAUGGAUGUCGAUGUUGAAAAUUGCAGUCUUCAAUUGUAGGCUGCGUUUUGGAUGGGGCGUGAUCCAAAAGUUACAUUCGUCUGAUUAUUGUGAACUGUUGGCUGUCAAAUGGAUGGGUGUGGUUACUAGUCCAAUUUGAAUGGGAAAUGGCUGAUGAUUGGAUGGUUAGGAUUGUUGGAUGGCAUUAGGUCGGUCCAAUUUGUGGGCACUAUUAUGGUUGGGGUGUGGUCCAAAAAUUUCAUUGAUCUAAUGAUCCUAACCAUUUGAACUUUGGCCAUCAAAUGGAUAGACAUGGUCAAUGGUCUAAGUAUGAUGGCAAAUAACUGAUGUUUGGACAGUUAUGAUUGUUCGACUUCUGUGAUUUUUGGGCCAUGCUUCAUAAGAUAUCCAUCCGUUUGGAAUCAACAUAGAACGUACGCUAAUUUAUCUUAAGCAUGAUUGGUGGACUGGCGUUUCUUGCAUAUUCAAAAAUCUUGCUUUCACUUCAACUGCAGUUCAAUACUGUCUAUUGUAUGAUCUAUACCAUCUCCUCGAUCGAAUUCUUCCGGUUGUUGAAGUGAGCUCCUUCCAAAAGGCCAUGGAAUUUUCAUCGGAACAAUUUGCUUCACAGUAUGCUUUGGAUUUGAAUUUAAAGCAUAGACAGUGAAUCCACAUUGUUUUGUCUGCUAUCGUUUUUUUAAUUAUUUUAAUUAUU